Molecule: RNA transcript, 6214 nt
Organism: Apodemus sylvaticus (European woodmouse)
Lineage: Eukaryota; Metazoa; Chordata; Mammalia; Rodentia; Muridae
Gene name: hemoglobin subunit theta-1-like
Exons: 6
Source: RefSeq, a predicted model, not a curated record
AUGUCUUUGUCCCAGACGGAUCGCGGGCUGGUCCUCGCGCUCUGGAAGAAGAUGGGAGACAAUGUUGGAAUCUACGCGACCGAAGCCUUGGAGAGGACCUUCGUGGCUUUCCCCUCCACCAAAACCUACUUCCCACACUUGGACCUGAGGCCAGGCUCUAGCCAGGUUAAAGCCCAUGCCCAAAAGGUGGCCGAUGCACUGACUCUCGCUGCCCAGCACCUGGACGACCUGCCUGCUUCUCUGUCUGCUCUCAGUGAUCUGCAUGCGCACAAGCUCCGCGUGGACCCCGCUAACUUUCAGUUCUUCAGCCACUGUCUGCUGGUGACUCUUGCCCGGAACUAUCCUGGAGACUUCAGCCCGCAGAUGCAUGCCUCCUUGGACAAGUUUCUGGAUCACGUGACUUCCGCACUGGUCUCUGAGUAUCACUAAACUGAGGAUGCAGGAUAGUGUACGCUCCAGCCGUGCCCCUUUUCAAGCUCACAGUGUUUGCGUAAAGCUCCCCAGAGUUACACUGCUGUCCUGUAUGCAGAGGGGCACAGGAGAAAGGUACACCCAGCCCCCAGUUGUCAGAACAACCAAGAGACUGGAACUACAGCUAAGCUGGUGUCUCAGACCUCAGAUGAGAGGCAGCUGUCCAUUGGUUUUGUUGUUUCAUUUUAUUUUUACCUUUGAGAUAAAUUUCAUAUGCUCUGCAACCCAGGCUGGCCUCUCAAAUCCAUACUACAAACUAGGUUGAUCUAUCACCCCUGAUCCUUCUGUUUCACAGCUAUCUCCAACCCAUCCCCCAGUGCCACCCACCAUCUCGGAUUACAGGGCGUUCCCCACCAGACCUGGCUCCAGGGUGGUUUCUUUUCUUUAUUGUAUGUAUGUAUGUAUGUAUGUAUAUAUGUAUUUAAGAUUUACUUAUUUUACAUAUAUGAGUACACUGUCGCUGUCUUCAGACACACCAAAAGAGGGCAUCAGAUCCCAUUACAGAUCGUUGUGAGCCACCAUGUGGUAGCUGGGAAUCAAACUCAGGAUCUCUGGAAGAGUAGGCAAUGCUCUUAACCACUGAGCCAUCUCUCCAACCCCUGGUUCUUUUUAUGUUUAUUUAACCUGUCUGUUUGUGUUCCGUGUUGGAGAUGGGAAGAAGGGUCUCCUGGGUGCCAAAGUGGCUCCAAGCUGCAGAAAGUGCAACUAACUCGGGAAAGAGACUGGCGAUCAGUGAAUGAAUGAAUCAACCUUUACAAAAGAAUAGAAAGAAAGGCUUUAUAAAGGACACUUCCAAAGGGUCGUGGGCUGGGUGGUAACUAGAGUCCCACCUGCAGCUGGAGGACCGGUCCUAGCACCUUCACACAUUCUCAAGCUUCAGAGGAGGCUCAGGGAUCGCCACCAGGGAGGCCUAUGGCAUUGAGUUACACAUCCAUGUCUUUAGCCUUGGCCAUAUCAGUUACAGAACUGUGGCUUUUGUCUCUCAGACAGGUGAUAGGUACUGAGGUCACAAGUCAGAAUAAGUGACCUGUUCCAUACAAUGCCCUGCCCCCUUCCAAUUGGUCUUUGUCUAACUCUGCUCAGGUCCAGGUGGGUUAGGCCUGGUCCUAUUACAAGACAGUCACCUCCUGGAUCCACACAUCGGGUUCAGAGCUGUAGAUGAUGCUGAAUGAGGGUAUCAGUGGAUGUCCAGGACACACUGGGCACUGUCCCACAGAAAGAAAUUCAAUCAGUGACCUCCUGUCUUCCUAGCCCAGCCAUGCCCAAGGUGUGUCUAUUAGGGACUUCCCGUGUAUGGAGGUCAGUAGUUAAGGCAUUGUGUGCCAGACUCAAUUUCUCAGAAUGAGGUGGGACCAGCACCAAAGCCUGUCCUGUAGAGAGGUGGCAGGGGACCCUCCAACCCUGCCUUCAUUGCACUUCAGAGAGGGCAGGGGGUUUCUUCUGGCUGCCUAAAGUCAGUCACAUGCAAGGCAGAAAACUGAUUUAACCUGCACAUUGGCCACCUCUCAGGCUAAGGAACAUGCCCUGGACAUCCUUAGUCAGACCUUCAGUUCCUACUGGACAUGAGGCAAACUGUCAGGUAUGAGAAAGUGGAAGCUGUGAGGUCACCUCCUAUGGCACAUGCAUGACACACUUUCUGUGAUAUGGGCAAAACAGGGACUCAAAACACAGUGGACAAGUAAUGGUUUGUCAUACAUGAGACCUUGACUAGGCUAGGACCACUCAGGUGGCUAAGGAAGCAUGUGUCUGUGAAGGUCCAAAAAAGAAGCAUUGGAACUGGCAGCCAGACCACAAUUCCUCUGUGCCAUACAGGAGAUGGCCCAUCCACCAGGGGCCAUGCGGGAAGAAGAGGAUGCACCUUCUGUGAACAGGACAUCGACAUUUUUGUGCCUGGCCUGUGGGUACUGUGUCCUUGGGCCUGUGGUCGUUGAGGGCCAUGUGGAAUUAAUACCACAGGCAUUUCUGGGCUUCCAGAUUGCAGGAGGCAGAUCCUAGGUCUUCACAUGCUGUGAAGAAAUGAGGGUGGGGGGGGCUGGAAUAAGCCAUACCCGUCUCUUCCAAACAUUUCCUGGUUAUGUUCUCUAGAGAACUCUGGUUGAUGCAGGGGGUUAAAAAAUGAAGAAGAUAUCUGGGUGGGGUCCCCCAGGCCUGUAACCCCCAGCCACCCUGGCACUCAGGACUCAUUGCACACAUCCAGGAGUAGAAACUAACAUAGGAAGACAGCAAGACCUAAGAUUUUUCGCUCACAGCAUAAAGAAAACAUGUUUGGGGAUGUUAUUGGUGCUAGAGAAUGUUCUCUAAAGCGUUUCCUGGGUCACCAUCUUCCCCACAAAAAGGCAAGAGUCAAACGAAAUAAAAAACAAAACACCCCAGCAAGGAUUAUCUGCUCAGACUCCCUAAUGAGAGUAUAGUGUAUGCCCCUCUCUGUAUUGAGUAUUAUACUUGCUCUGAUAGAGUCACAGGUACCACAUUGUUCCAGUCCUUGCCCUUCCCUAUCAGAGGCCAGGGGUGUGGGUGAGGAGUCCUGGCUGCAGUGGCAGGUGGUGGGCUGGCCCCAGCACAGUGCCCCUGGAACAGCCCCAGCACAGUGCCUUCUUGCUGUUGCUCAGGAGGCAAACAGGUCCCUUUCCUUAGUCCGAGAUCGAGCUCACUGCCCCAUUCUUUGCAUGCAUCCUGCCUCCUGGGAUCUCCUUCUGGGUCUGCUCUCCUGAUGUCAGCAGCAGCCAGAAAGCAGGUUGCCUAGGUCUGGGCCCCUGGCUCUAGGCUGGGAUUUGAAUACCUGUCCUGCUUGUAGAUCUCUAGAGAUACAGUGAUGCCCCCAAGGCUGGUCCCUGAGAGCACCAGCCUGGGGAGCACUGAAUACAGCUUACCCUCACUACACACACACACACAUUGAGUGGGGGGAUUUCUAUAUGUGACUGCUUGGCUGUCCUGGAGCUCAAUUUGUAUAACAUCCUUGCCUGGAACUCUCCAAGAUUUACCUACAUCUGCAUCCCAAGUAUUGGAAUUAAAAAUUGGGACUCCACUACCAGAUAUAUAUUCUAUACUUCAAUAAAUCUUGAAAAAAUAGUGUGGUAAACUUUACUGGCAAAGAGCAGGAGACAAAAGUCUUAUCAAAGUAAAUGCAGAGGGAUGGGUGUGGUGUCACAUGUUUUUAAUCAGAGCACUCCAGAGGCAGAAGUAGAGAGAGAUCUCUGUCAGUUCAAGGCCUGCCUGGUCUACAGAGCAAGUCCCAGGCCAGGGAAACCCUGUCUUUUGUUUGUUUGUUUGUUUGUUUUUUGUUUUUGUUUUUGGAUUUGUUUUUUUCAAUAUACGGUUUCUCUGUGUAGCCCUGGCUGUCCUGGAAUGCACAUUGUAGAUCAGGCUGGCCUGGAACUCAGAAAUCCACCUGCCUCUGCCUCCCAGAGUGCUGGGAUAACAGGCAUGCGCCACCACCAACUGACAAAACUCUGUCUUAAAAACAAACAGAACAGUAAGCAUGUGUUUGUGUUCUGCAUCCUGGAGCAGCCCAGCAGAGCUUACUGCCUGUGCAGACACGGACUGGGCAAAGAUGCCUUGCACAUUGCAGUCUAAGUGCAAGUACAAGAUGCAGCUGGUGAGAACAAGAUGCAGCUGGUCAGAAGGGAGUCUGCGCUCUGCUCUCAGCACAGAAGCUUCCCUCCUGAGAUUCCCCUCUGCUUCCCUGGCUGUUAGCAGCAUCCAGAACAACUCUGGUCCUGACUUUCAGGCCACUGGCUCUAGGUUGGCAUCUCAGUCUGCCUGGCUAUGGUGUUCUGGAAUGUGAUCUAGCUUUCCAGGCUUUUAGAGGAAGGAGUCAGCCUAAGUUGCACUGGAUACAGCUUCCCAGAGGGUGGCGAGGACCACAUUCACUAGAUUCCUGGCAAAGAGCACCCUCAAUACCUAGGCAGUUUCUUCCUCUCCCUGUGACUUCUUCCUUACAGUUCACUCAUCUUCAUUAUCUUCCAAUUAUGUAUAUGCAUGUUUCUAUGUAUACCGUGUGUGUGUGUGUGUGUGUGUGUGUGUACAUGCGUGAGUGCCUAUGAAGGUCACAAGUGGGUGUGAAAUCCCUGGAAGCUGGAGCUGCUGUUACAGGUAGUUUUGAUCCACCUCACCUGGGUCUGGGCAACCAAACUCAGGCCCGCAAGAAGGGUAGCAAGCAUCCUUCAGUGCUGAGUCACGCCUGCAGCCACCUCAUUUUUAUUUGUGUGUAGGAAAACACAUCAGCAAUAAACUGAAGUCCAGACAAGCAUUCACACCAUUCUGUGUUGUCAAUAGGGAGAGUCUCUCUGUCAUAUCUCUCUACCCAGAAAAGGCCCAAGUAAACGUUGGAGCUGAACCUAGUAUCUUCACUAAGUGUAAACAAAGAUGAGUCUGAAGGGAAGGAGGGUUGAAGGAAAGGAGGGAGAGAAAGGGAGGGUGGAGGAUGGGAGAGAAAGACAGGGAGGAGUGGAGGAAGGAUAGGAGCAAGAGAAGAUUCCUAAGACUAAGACACCCUCUAAGAAUCUCAAGGAGAGACUGAAAGAGUGUGCAGAGAGAGAGGACUCCCCAACCCCAGAAUGUCCACCCGCUAGGAGCUGCCCACCACCGCUACCCCAGCCAGGGUCAGCUAGCCAUUCCUUAUGCCUAUAAGUCCCCAGCAUCUUUUCCUUCUUGUCCUCAGAGCUAGGAUGAAGCCUGCACUUGGGGGUUGCGUAGAUUGUAGUCAGAGAAUAGGAGGCAUGAGGCGGAACAGUUCUGCCAAAGGCUGAGCCUCUGAACCCCAGACAAAGGCUUUUUCUUUCCAGACACCUGUCUCUCUCCAGGAGGGGGACAGGAGCAAGAAAGAGGAAGAACCACGCGACCUAAGGAUGGGGUCAGUGACCAAGUUCCUAAGCCCAGCAUGCCUGUAAGUAUGACCAACAACCUGGUUUAUUCACACCUGAGAUUCACACCUCCAUGGACAAGCUUUUUGCUGCUGUGAACCUCCAGUGCUGGGGACUGAAGCCAGAACCUUCCUCAGGCAAAGGGAACAAAUACUCUGCUAUUCACUUACACCCAGGCUCAAGCAAUCCUCCUGCCUCAUCCUGCCAGGACCUGAGGCUCCCCAUUUCUGAAACCAAAACCAGCCUUCAGGAUUUCCUUAUCCAUCCCUGGUAGCACUGGGCAGCUAAGAUGCAAGACUUUAAGAAGAGUCUGGUGACCUGCUCCUGAGCUAGGACAGUCACUUGAGCCAAAGGACUCAGGCCAGUCUGGAAACUAGAACAAGAUCUCGUCCCAGAAAAAGACAAGAAAGGAGGAACCAGGGCAGGAGAGAGUGAACAAAGAGGAAGAGAGAGGGAAGAAGGGAGAAAGACAGGAGAGAGCUCCUCUGUGGGUCACCAGCAUCUUAGCCUUUUGUCAGAACCAAGGCACGUCUUCCCAAACACCUGUUAUUGGAGGCAUAGGAAGGGGUAAAAAGCAUCCGGGCAAGGGUAAGGAUUCCCUGCACUCAGGCAAGGCAGAUCCCCCGCCUCAGACUCGGGGUUGGGGGGUGGGUUUCAAGUUUUACUGGGCGGAGCAAGCACGAGCCAGCCAAUGAGAGCUGCUCUAAGGGCGUGACCUCCACAGUGUAGGCAUAUAAGUGCAACUUGCUGUGGGUCCAACACACUUCUGAUUCUGAUAAACUCAGGAGGAAAUCAUGGUGCUCUCUGGGGAGGACAAAGCCAACAUCAAGGCUGCCUGGGGGAAGAUUGGUGGCCAUGGCGCUGAAUAUGGCGCGGAGGCC